Molecule: small RNA, 327 nt
Filed under: Pongo abelii (Sumatran orangutan)
Lineage: Eukaryota; Metazoa; Chordata; Mammalia; Primates; Hominidae
Description: processed transcript
Source: RNAcentral
CCCCUCCUCCCUCAGACCCAGGGUACAGGCCCCCAGCCCCUCCUCCCUCAGACCCCAGGAGUCCAGACCCCCCAGCCCCUCCUCCCUCAGACCCAGGAGUCCAGCUCCUCCUCCCUCAGACUCAGAAGUCCAGGCCCCCAACCCCUCCUUCCCCAGACCCAGAGGUCCAGGUCCCAGCCCCUCCUCCCUCAGACCCAGUGGUCCAAUGCCAGCUAGACUCUCCCUGUACACAGUGCCCCCUUGUGGCACGUUGACCCAACCUUACCAGUUGGUUUUUCAUUUUUUGUCCCUUUCCCCUAGAUCCAGAAAUAAAGUCUAAGAGAAGCG